GGGGAAUAUUGCACAAUGGGCGAAAGCCUGAUGCAGCAACGCCGCGUGAGCGAAGAAGGCCUUUGGGUCGUAAAGCUCUGUUGGAAGGGAAGAAAGAAAUGACGGUACCUUCUGAGGAAGCCCCGGCUAACUACGUGCCAGCAGCCGCGGUAAUACGUAGGGGGCGAGCGUUAUCCGGAAUUAUUGGGCGUAAAGAGUGCGUAGGUGGCCAGGUAAGCGUGGGGUGAAAGGCAAUAGCUUAACUAUUGUAAGCCUUGCGAACUGUCUGGCUUGAGUGCAGGAGAGGAAAGCGGAAUUCCUAGUGUAGCGGUGAAAUGCGUAGAUAUUAGGAGGAACACCAGUGGCGAAGGCGGCUUUCUGGACUGUAACUGACACUGAGGCACGAAAGCGUGGGGAGCAAAC
RNAcentral lists this ribosomal RNA (402 nucleotides) under uncultured bacterium. Its description in RNAcentral is "bacterial SSU rRNA". It matches the Rfam family "Bacterial small subunit ribosomal RNA", at positions 356 to 773 of the family's 1533-position model. The record is from RNAcentral.